UACGGAAGGCAGCAGGUGGGGAAUAUUGCACAAUGGGCGCAAGCCUGAUGCAGCCAUGCCGCGUGUAUGAAGAAGGCCUUCGGGUUGUAAAGUACUUUCAGUCGUGAGGAAGGUGUUAAGGUUAAUAACCUUAGCAAUUGACGUUAGCGACAGAAGAAGCACCGGCUAACUCCGUGCCAGCAGCCGCGGUAAUACGGAGGGUGCGAGCGUUAAUCGGAAUUACUGGGCGUAAAGGGCACGCAGGCGGUUAAUUAAGUUGGAUGUGAAAUCCCCGGGCUUAACCUGGGAAUGGCAUUCAAGACUGGUUAGCUAGAGUCUUGUAGAGGGGGUAGAAUUCCAUGUGUAGCGGUGAAAUGCGUAGAGAUGUGGAGGAAUACCGGUGGCGAAGGCGGCCCCUGGGACAAAGACUGACGCUCAUGUGCGAAAGCGUGGGGAGCAAACAGGGAUUAGAUACC
RNAcentral lists this ribosomal RNA (455 nucleotides) under uncultured bacterium. Its description in RNAcentral is "bacterial SSU rRNA". It matches the Rfam family "Bacterial small subunit ribosomal RNA", at positions 340 to 786 of the family's 1533-position model. The record is from RNAcentral.